GACGAACGCUGGCGGCGUGCUUAACACAUGCAAGUCGAACGGAAAGGCCUGCUUUCCCUUGUGGAUUGCGGGUACUCGAGUGGCGAACGGGUGAGUAACACGUGAGUGAUCUGCCCCCAACUUGGGUAUAAGCCUGGGAAACUGGGUCUAAUUCCCGAUAGGACUGCAGGGUGGUGCCUGUGGUGGAAAACGAUUUUCUAGUGGUUGGGGAUGAGCUCGCGGCCUAUCAGCUUGUUGGUGGGGUAAUGGCCUACCAAGGCGGCGACGGGUAGCCGGCCUGAGAGGGUGGACGGCCACAUUGGGACUGAGAUACGGCCCAGACUCCUACGGGAGGCAGCAGUGGGGAAUAUUACACAAUGGGCGGAAGCCUGAUGCAGCGACGCCGCGUGGGGGAUGACGGCCUCCGGGUUGUAAACUCCUUUCGACCGCGAGGAAGCCACCUGGUUGGAAGGGUGGUGACGGUAGUGGUAGAAGAAGCACCGGCUAACUACGUG
RNAcentral lists this ribosomal RNA (494 nucleotides) under uncultured bacterium. RNAcentral describes it as "partial 16S ribosomal RNA". It matches the Rfam family "Bacterial small subunit ribosomal RNA", at positions 28 to 507 of the family's 1533-position model. The record is from RNAcentral.